This 253-nucleotide ribosomal RNA is filed under the name uncultured bacterium. Its description in RNAcentral is "partial 16S ribosomal RNA". It matches the Rfam family "Bacterial small subunit ribosomal RNA", at positions 524 to 776 of the family's 1533-position model. The record is from RNAcentral.
UACGGCGGGAGCUAGCGUUGUUCGGAAUUACUGGGCGUAAAGCGCAUGUAGGCGGCUUUUUAAGUCAGGGGUGAAAUCCCGGGGCUCAACCCCGGAACUGCCCUUGAAACUGGGAAGCUAGAAUCUUGGAGAGGCGAGUGGAAUUCCGAGUGUAGAGGUGAAAUUCGUAGAUAUUCGGAAGAACACCAGUGGCGAAGGCGACUCGCUGGACAAGUAUUGACGCUGAGGUGCGAAAGCGUGGGGAGCAAACAGG